CCUACGGGGGGCAGCAGUGAGGAAUAUUGGUCAAUGGACGAGAGUCUGAACCAGCCAAGUAGCGUGAAGGAUGACUGCCCUAUGGGUUGUAAACUUCUUUUAUAUGGGAAUAAAAUGUUCCACGUGUGGGAUUUUGUAUGUACCAUAUGAAUAAGGAUCGGCUAACUCCGUGCCAGCAGCCGCGGUAAUACGGAGGAUCCGAGCGUUAUCCGGAUUUAUUGGGUUUAAAGGGUGCGUAGGUGGAUUGUUAAGUCAGUUGUGAAAGUUUGCGGCUCAACCGUAAAAUUGCAGUUGAAACUGGCAGUCUUGAGUACAGUAGGGGUGGGCGGAAUUCGUGGUGUAGCGGUGAAAUGCUUAGAUAUCACGAAGAACUCCGAUUGCGAAGGCAGUUCACUGGACUGCAACUGACACUGAGGCUCGAAAGUGUGGGUAUCAAACAGGAUUAGAUACCCUAGUAGUC
This 460-nucleotide ribosomal RNA is filed under the name uncultured bacterium. Its description in RNAcentral is "partial 16S ribosomal RNA". It matches the Rfam family "Bacterial small subunit ribosomal RNA", at positions 338 to 795 of the family's 1533-position model. The record is from RNAcentral.